Molecule: unclassified non-coding RNA, 317 nt
Filed under: Hevea brasiliensis (rubber tree)
Lineage: Eukaryota; Viridiplantae; Streptophyta; Magnoliopsida; Malpighiales; Euphorbiaceae
Source: RNAcentral
UGCCAGAAAUCAUAGCCUGAAUUUAUCACAAAUAGUGGAGUUUGCAUAGUCUGAGUUACGUAUUGUGGGAAGAAACACAAUUCUGGUUUAUUUUUUGAAGUGCAAGAGGGAGGAAGACUCUUUACUGACCCAUGUAAACCAACUAUUCCACCAAAGAAGUUUUCGAUUUCGAACCCACCAGCAACAUCCUUUCCAUGAAUAAAAUAACCAGCAUCUGAAACACAUUUUACUCUAGCAGUUGCAGGUAGGAGAGAUUUGAAUUUAUCACAAUGCAGAAUAGCAGCCAAUCCACCAGCCGAGCAGCCUGAAAGAAUAGC